Molecule: non-coding RNA, 4427 nt
Organism: Cyanistes caeruleus (blue tit)
Lineage: Eukaryota; Metazoa; Chordata; Aves; Passeriformes; Paridae
Source: RefSeq, a predicted model, not a curated record
CACAAGUUUUUCAAGACAAAGCUCUUUCUACCUGAGUAAAAUACUCUUUUCUCCAAGCAAGACACGGACAAAAAUACCAGAAUUAUUUAAAAUACUUUCAGUUCACACAUCAUUUCACCAGAACACCACAAGAAUUUGGAUGGAUGAACUCCCCAACCUCACACCACAACUCUUCUUCAGUCAAGAAAUUGCAAAACAAUUGGAAAAUGUAUCUGAAAUGGAGGAGACACCUGCCCAGAAACUAUUUUAAUCAGCCUGUUCCUGAAAGACUGUAUCCUGUAGAAAUGGACCAACACUGGAGCAAUUAGUGAAGAACUGCAGCCCAAAGGAAUAACCCACGUUGGAGGAGGCUGAGAAGGACAGUUUCCUAUAGGAUGGACCCCAUGACAGAGCAGGGGAAGAGCAUCAGGAGGGAGAAGCACCAGUGACAAAGUGCUGUGAAUAGUCUGUAACCCUUCAAGUUGAGUCUUGUAAGAUGUGUGUGUGGCAAAAAGUGGUUUUAGAUUUGCUCUAAUUUCUCCCCAUCCUAGUCUGAUAUUAAUUAGCAUUAAUUAAAAUCAAUUUCCCCAAGAUCAUCUUGUUUUUCCUAUCAUGGUAAAUGGUAAGAGAUCUCUCAACCCCUAUUCUGAUCCAAAACUCUCCCCUGUGUUUUAAUUAACUGAGCGGGGUGGAUGGUGAAGCACCUUGAUGGGUAUGUGCCACUCAGCCAAGCUCAACGCACUCCCCAUCAGGCAAAUUCAAUCACCAGAGAAACCAUGUCUUGAUCAAGCUUCCAGAAGAAACAAAUGGUAUGAAAGGCUGAACCCAUUUAAAAACAAAACUAUUGACAUGAAAAGUCUUAUAAAAUCAAGACUGUAAAAAAAAAAAAUACAAUUGAGUUAUGAGAUACAGAAAGGAGAGAGAGAAGCUGGACUGAAAAAGGAUCUGUUCUUUCCUAAAACAAUUUUUUUUCUACAUCAGGUGACAGCUGAUGCAGGAAAGAAAGAGCUUCAGGUUUGGGAGUUGGUCUUGUAUUUAUAGAAAGACUGGGGGCUUCAUUUAGCUCCAAAAGUCAAAACUUCCAUCUUUAUAUUACAGGAAGAUCUAGAGAAGGUGUGACCACACUAAGCUCCCAAUUACAUAAAUGCUUUUCAGGAGGGAACGUGGGGAAGCGAGUCAAACCUGAAAACUGUAAGCUCAGACUUGUUAACCUUCAUAGCUCCAGAAAUGAGAGUCCCUGCCGACAUUAAUGCUUCUAAAGAUGGAGCUGGCAGAAGGCUUUGCAAGAGCCUUUCCUUUGACUUUGAAGUGAAGCUGCUGAAGGUCAUGUCAGAGGUCCUUGUGCUGAUGGUUAACACUGUCAUUGGCCAGAGGAACCACCACACUGGGUGACACAAAUGGCUGGGAGUCACUCCUGCUCCUUUCUGCAUCUUCCUGCCCAGCAGUUCUAAGGCCAGACGAGCUCAGCCAAGUCAGGUGCUCAAAAUGCACUGCUACAAGUAAGGAAGAACAAAACUGCCCAAGUGAAACCAGACAGAGGCUACAGCUUUACAAGGAGAGGCAUUUGAUCCUGUUCAUUCUGUUCUUCUUGUCUUGUAACAUUUAUCUGCUUCACAAAAUCCUUGCCAGGGCCUCCCAUCUUCCUACCCAUGGCCUUGGCUGUGCCUGCUGCCAUCCAUCUCCCACAAGCAGCACAAAACACUCUUUUCAAAUUCUGUGGUCCAGUUAUAAAGCACCCAAACCAGAAAGAGCAGCAACACAGCAGGAAAACAAAUGAGCAGAAGUAUUGCAGACCAACAGAAACACAGAACUUCUGGAAAUGAAUACAUAGGCUACAACUGGCUUUGGUUGACGGGUGGUUUUUUUUGGUGGUGGUGGUGGCUUUGUUGUUAGUAUUUUUCUUUCCCUGAGACACAUCUGGGAUAUCCCAUCUGACUUUCUGCCUUCAGAGCUCAUGGCCUAAACCCACCACCACGCUUCCUGCUUGAUCCAUGUUUCUGUGGGUUCUGCCUGUCCAGUGGACAGGGAGACCAUCUCUCCUGUCACACAAUGCUUUGUGCAGCACUAAAGUUCUUGGAUUUCUACUCUACACACCAGUGUAGUGUAAAUAAUUACACCUGAAAGUAACAAGAUUCCUAUCCAAGCAUGAAGCUUAUUUGUUUAAAACAUAUAUUAAUGUAAUAGGACUUCCUUGGACUAGAAUUAAAACGUUUUCCUUUGCUCAAUUUCAUUUCCAUCCCAGAUUAUUUUAUUUCCACCUUUCUAGGAGACACUGCAUAGUUCCAGAACAUGUUAUUUCCUUAAGUGAACAAAAGCUUUGGUAAAACUGGUUGAUCUGUCCUACAGAGGAGAGUAAACUUGAAUAGUACAUUGACUCUUUGCUCACCUUGAAACCACCAUGAAUCACUCUUAUCACUAAAAGGAAUUGCAGCAUAUAUUUUUCACAUAUACCUAAGCUCUGUGUAAUCAUCUUGGAUGCUACCAGACCUUGCAAACAAAACACAAUACAGACAUUCUCAGUUAUAAAUUCUGACUUUAUGUGUUUUUGUAAAAUAUAAGUCUGUUCAGAUACUGAGUACUGCAAGCACAUAUUAUCAUCCAGACUCUGCAUUUCCUUUGCUGUACAACAAUUGGAAACCAUCAACAUCCAACAGAAGCCUGUUCCGUUCCUCCAAAAUGUGGAGAGGAGAGGGAAAAUUCGGAUUUGGGGGUGAUAAAAUGCUACUGGCUGAGAGGAACAUUGAACUCACUGUUAAGAGGCAUUAUGAAAUUGUAGUGGCAUAUCACAUCUUAUUUUGAAACCAGAAAGUAUUCAAGACUCAAUUAAAUGAAGCAAGAUCCCUAUAUUUGCAUUAAGAAACACUAGCAAUAAAAGAACCAGCUUAAAUGUCUGUUACUGUUACACUGGUAGUGUUUCCCUGUUCUUCCAUGUGGCCACUCAUUUCCGAUUAAAUCAUCCAAUAGAAUUUCUACUUUAUUUCCUAUGUUUUUCAGUAUGCAACACAUCAUGUGCACCACUAAGGGAAAGCUGUGGCUACAUGAAGCUUUUGUUAGGGCAAAGCAUCUUGAAUUUACAAAUAUGUGCAGCACAACCAUCUGUAACAAAACAAACAGCAACAAUCAUAUGUUCUUGCCAUAAUAUAGCCCACAAACAAGUUAUAAACUUAUUCCCUGAAUCAGUAACAACUAAUGAUUAAUAAUAUUUGACCCUCACUUUUCUGCCAUAGAGAUACGGACUUUUAAAUAUGCUAGCUUGUUGUUUUGUCAUUUUUCAUCCAAGUUACAUUUUACAUUUUAAACUGAAUUUCCUUAAUCACUUAAAGAGUAUAUUUCUACAAGAUUUAAUUACUUAUGUAUGACAUAUGUCUCUCAUCCUUGGACGAUUUAUCUUACCCAAGAAAACUAACUGCUAUUACAUAGGACUAGACAGAGGAUUCUGAUUCAGACAAGUAUUCAGCAGAUUAGUUAAGUUACAUGCAGUGAAACUGUUUCAACUGUAAGUAAGAAAUAAACAUUAUGAAAACAAACCAACAAAAAACCUCAAACCAACUAGAAUUCCAGGAAGAUGCAAAGCCUAGCAAGGCUUUGGAGAUAAGAGUGGUUAGAAUGAAGGACUAGGCAUCUUGGCCUGCAUUAGGAAAGCAUUUCCAGCAAGACAAGAACAUGGACAAUGUGAUUGCACAUCAGUCACUAAUCAUAGCAUAUGGGAAAAACAGAAUAACUGAUUUUUGAGACACUGGAUGCUUUUGUGUUCUUUGCACAUUGAUAUUCCACAAGUUUAUAUCACCCAUGUAGUUUUAAAGGUUCAACUCUGAAAAUGCUUUUUUUUUUUCCUGACAUCUUCUCAUGUGAUAACAUACAACAAAGUACAACAGAAAUUAGUACAUAUUCUAGCAAUCAGACAGCUUCAUCUUAGGAACCAUGCAAGGCACAGAAAACAUGGUCCUGGCCAGGACUAAAAUGGUAUUAACUCACUGUGUAUUCAAGUUUACCAAUUGUCAGUAUACUCUGAAUCAGAUCACGUACCUGUGAUACAAUAAUUACAUAAAGAAGAGAUGCAUCCAUAUGACACCAGAAAUGGCUUCAAGCAUCAGUACUUUACUUUUCUGCAGCACAACCUUUCACACUAUUCAUCUCAUGUGCAUUACAGCUGUGUGCCCUCUCUACCCUCCUGUGAUUGCUCAGUAUACCUCAGCAUUCCAAGUUUCAUUGCCUUCAAUACUGUUCAUCUGUCCUACAUAGUUGUAGCUCAUUGGGGAUGAGGCUCAGCAGCAGCCCCAUUCCCAACCCCCACAAACUGUGUGCCUACAUCCACAGAUAAAUUUGAUAGUUCUAUACAGCAGGAAACAAGUCAAUACAGGAAGCCAUGGGGUUAAUUAUCAUACUCUGCAGGCUGAAAAGCUCUAAACAGCAGUAUUUUGCAAAUAUCUAAAUUGCCAUUAAAAAAA